GGCUGGCUAAUGUGGAGCUCAGUUGGUAGAGCUCCAGGCUGUGGGUUCAAGCCCCACGUUGGGCA
Molecule: transfer RNA, 65 nt
Filed under: Podarcis lilfordi (Lilford's wall lizard)
Lineage: Eukaryota; Metazoa; Chordata; Lepidosauria; Squamata; Lacertidae
Description: tRNA.Leu
Source: RNAcentral